UAGGACCCUGGGAUCGUGACGUAGUUCUACCUAAAUUCUUGUGGACACAGUGCUUUCUGAAAAUACUAAAUUACUGCAGAGCUUUCCUAGCUUGGAAGCCAUUCUGUUUCUUACAGGUUUAGUGCCCGCAGUAUCAACAGAAGAGUGCCCAGCUGAAGUCUGACCUGUGUAGUGGUGCUGUAGCUAAACCGUGCAUGCAGUCAUUGAGCUCUAUAAAUGUAUUCUGGAGGUCAGAAGUCCAAAACCAAAGAAUCAAUAGGGCUGUGCUCCCUGUGAUGACUCCGGGGAGAAUCUGUCCCCUGACCCUUCCAGCUUCCGGUGGCCCACAGCACUUCCAGUCUGCCUCCGUGGUCACAUUGCUGCCGCCUCUUCUGUCAAAUCUCCCUCUGCCUCAUUCGUAUAAGGACACUUGUCACUGGAUUAUUUAAACUCCUGUGGAUAAUCCUGGAUAAGCACCCUCUUGAAAAAUCCUUAACAUCAUCCCAUUGUUUGCCAUAUCAGCUGUCAGUAUGCUCAAAAGUCAGCAGUUACAGAAAGGAAGCAUGGGCUCCAGUCGCACCAGUAUCCCCUGGAGCUCCCAUGGACAUAAGAAGACCUUUUCACGACCACUGCUGCUCCCAGAAAAGAUUCCCCCUACUGUGCUCAAGAUGGUGCAUAGAUUAUCUGCAUUGGAGCAACCAGGAAGCCAAAUUCUUUCUUGCCAGUUCCUUUCGAUUUGCAGCUCAGAGCUCCAGAGUCCCAGUCUGGCAAGGAAAAAUGACCCUGACAAUUGUCUGCCUUCCCAAUGAGUUCUUGAGGGGGGUUGGCUCAAUCUAGUGAGAAACAGCCUUGAUUGGGGACAUUCAUAAUCAGCUUCUCAUCUCGAAGCAGAGAAUCUCUGGCCUGAGGGCCUCAUAAGAACACGGGAACAUAAAUCCUGAAGACGUAUGAGGCACUUGAUAUUUCAUAUGCGCUUAGCUAAAAUUAAUUACCCAAUUAAUCUCCAAGGAUGAUAACCAAAUGAGCUCUUCUACAAAUUAUCAUUAUUUAUUAACAGAUCAGAAAGCCAAUGAAGAUAUUUUACAUAAGUUUCCGCAGGGGAAACGAGUCACGAGAAACCAAUGCCAGUCCCUUCAAGGUCUCCUAGUGAAAAAGCAACAGAACCCAAAGUCACUGUGGAAGUAGGACCCAUGGAGGAAGGACACUAGGAUCUGCCCAUCUUGCUGUGUGAAAAAUCAUGAAGUAGUAGAGACCCCUGGAGGCUUCUCUUUGUUUAUUUUCAACCACAACACUGGAAUUCUGCCCUUGCUUCUCUUGCUGA
Molecule: long non-coding RNA, 1300 nt
Organism: Lontra canadensis (Northern American river otter)
Lineage: Eukaryota; Metazoa; Chordata; Mammalia; Carnivora; Mustelidae
Exons: 5
Source: RefSeq, a predicted model, not a curated record